AGAGGAAGAAAAAAAAUGUUACUUUAUUCCCUCGUCUCUCGAGUCUUGACCCAUUUGAUCUCAGUUUAAUUUAACCUUUUUGGCUUUUUGGGUUUUUGCACAGCUCACUAGUCACUCCUCGCACCUCACUCAGGCUUUUGAAACCUAGGGUUUAAUUUCUUUGGUUAUCCGAGUUCAAUGGAAGUUUCAGGUGUUGAACUGCAACCUGAGGUGGACGCCACCUCGGAUGCUCCUGAACACUGUCAGGAAAGCAAUCAAAAGGAAAAAGGAGAAGGAACCUCCUUAGUUCAGCAGUCUAGACGGCCAAACCUAUCGUCUUUGCAGAUACCUGUAAGGUCUCUUGAAAAUACAUCAUCUGCUUUUGCAAGGAUAGAAAUUUCCUCAGCUCCGAGUCCUACUUCCACUAAAGCAGGAUUGCCGCCUAGACCACCUUCAGCUAAAUUCAAAUCAUCCAUGAGAAAUCUGCUUCCCCAAAGAAGCUUGAGGGCAAAAAAUUUGUCUGAGGAUGGGGAAAAGACGGUUCUUAUCAUCCCAGACACACCAUCAUCGGAUGGUCCUUUGGAUAAGCCUACUACUUCAAGGUCAUUUUCUCUCAACAAGGUUCUUUUCCCUUCAGUAAAAGCAACAUAUUCUUUACCAGCUACACCAAUUGCAAGUUCAGGUUCUGAGUCCCUGCAGGAAAAGAAUCUGGAUGGUGAAUCUGAUUUUUCUAAGGUAGAAGUUCAGCAUCAUAUGACACGCUCAUUGUCAGUUCCUGUAAAUGUUAAAGCCAGAAGUUUAAGGCGGAUGGACUCUACAGGAGGUUUGAUCCGUGUGAUAUCAGCAACCCCUCGUCCAGUGGCAGUUGAUGGUGCCUCACAAGAUGAUGCCCCGGUAACAGAAAUUGUGAGUGGAGAUGAUGGGGAAGAUAUUCCUGAGGAAGAAGCAGUUUGCAGGAUUUGUUUCAUUGAGCUUGGGGAAGGAGGUGAUACUCUUAAGUUGGAGUGUAGCUGUAAAGGUGAACUUGCACUUGCUCACCAAGACUGUGCUAUAAAGUGGUUUAGCAUUAAAGGAAACAAGACAUGCGAUGUCUGCAAGCAGGAUGUCCAGAACCUUCCUGUAACAUUACUGAAAAUACAAAAUCCUCAGACUGUUGUUAGACGGCCAGCAACUCUACCACAGCAGAGAGAAGAGACUCGAUACAGGGUCUGGCAGGAUGUUCCAGUUCUAGUCAUGGUCAGCAUGCUUGCAUAUUUCUGCUUCUUGGAGCAAUUACUGGUAACUAACCUGGGUCCUCGUGCUCUUGCCAUUUCUUUGCCCUUCUCAUGUGUUUUAGGUCUUCUUUCGUCCAUGAUAGCUUCCACCAUGGUGAGCAAGAGUUACAUAUGGGCUUAUGCUUCAUUCCAGUUUGCAAUUGUGAUCCUAUUUGCUCAUAUCUUCUAUACUAUACUCAACGUAAACCCAAUUCUUUCAGUUCUCCUUUCCUCAUUCACUGGGUUUGGAAUUGCAAUAAGCACAAAUUCGCUUCUAGUAGAGUACCUGAGAUGGAGAGCAAGCAGGCAGGUGCGAUCUUCCGAUCAAAAUAACAGAGGUGUGCAACAACCACAACGGAACCAUCCCCAUCACCACCACCACCACCACCACCACCAGUGGCAGCAGCAGCAACAACAACAACAACAACAACAACAUCAACACCAAUUACAAGACCUAAUACAAGAAUCCAAUACUGGGCCUACAGAUAGUUCCAGGCAAGAAGAAAACAGGAUUCAGAACACUUGAUUGACAAGGAUAAGAGGAAAUUUUUGUAACCAUUACAGGACAGUCUUAGACAUGAACAAUGCGAAAGAAAUAGUUUUAUGGAAGGAGAUUCUCUGCCACUUGAUUGUUAUCCUGAUGAUGAUGAAAAUGUUAAUUAAUUCUUCAGCAUAUACACCUUCAACAAGUAGUUGAACCAAAGGAAACCAAGGGAUUGAGUAGAAACAAGAGGUCACUGAGUAUGCAACAGUUCCCAAGUGUGAAUAUAUAUGUAGCAGAAAUCUUAGAUUCUGGAAACAAGUUCUUGAGCUGGGUUUCUGAUGUUUUCAUAUCAGUUAUCAAGAAUGAUGCAGAAGAAAUUUCAGAUUUUGGAACAACCAAUCUUGUUGAGUUUGUGUUGUGAGUGGGUUUUCCUUUUUAUGCUCUCAUAUCAAAAGACUGUUGCCUUAACAUUUUCUAACUGGCCACUGCUUCAUGGCAUAAUGCGGAUGCUAUUUCCCGGUUUCAAGUGCUUUCCAGCUUCAAAAU
Vitis riparia (riverbank grape) is the source of this 2262-nucleotide RNA transcript. RefSeq lists it as uncharacterized. Lineage: Eukaryota; Viridiplantae; Streptophyta; Magnoliopsida; Vitales; Vitaceae. The record is from RefSeq and is a predicted model, not a curated record. The transcript has 10 exons.